CGUUUUAACGCUCGGCUNGUNUGCUUAACNCAUGCAAGUCGAACGGUGAACACGGNAGCUUGCUCUGUGGGAUCAGUGGCGAACGGGUGAGUAACACGUGAGCAACCUGCCCCUGACUCUGGGAUAAGCGCUGGAAACGGCGUCUAAUACUGGAUAUGUGACGUGAUCGCAUGGUCUGCGUCUGGAAAGAAUUUCGGUUGGGGAUGGGCUCGCGGCCUAUCAGCUUGUUGGUGAGGUAAUGGCUCACCAAGGCGUCGACGGGUAGCCGGCCUGAGAGGGUGACCGGCCACACUGGGACUGAGACACGGCCCAGACUCCUACGGGAGGCAGCAGUGGGGAAUAUUGCACAAUGGGCGCAAGCCUGAUGCAGCAACGCCGCGUGAGGGACGACGGCCUUCGGGUUGUAAACCUCUUUUAGCAGGGAAGAAGCGAAAGUGACGGUACCUGCAGAAAAAGCGCCGGCUAACUACGUGCCAGCAGCCGCGGGGUAAUA
This 493-nucleotide ribosomal RNA is filed under the name bacterium ID3-10. RNAcentral describes it as "bacterial SSU rRNA". It matches the Rfam family "Bacterial small subunit ribosomal RNA", at positions 27 to 525 of the family's 1533-position model. The record is from RNAcentral.